AGCGAACGCUGGCGGCAUGCUUAACACAUGCAAGUCGCACGGGCAGGGGAAACUCUGUCAGUGGCGGACGGGUGAGUAACGCGUAGGUAUCUAUCCUUGGGUGGGGACGAACGGCUGGAAACGGGACUGCUAAUAACCGCAUGAUGUCUGAGGACUAAAGGACGCGAGUCGCCUGAGGAGGAGCCUGCGUACGAUUAGCUAGUUGGUGGGGUAAAGGCCUACCAAGGCNGUGAUCGUUAGCUGGUCUGAGAGGAUGAUCAGCCACAUUGGGACUGAGACACGGCCCAAACUCCUACGGGAGGCAGCAGUGGGGAAUAUUGGACAAUGGGCGCAAGCCUGAUCCAGCAAUG
This 350-nucleotide ribosomal RNA is filed under the name uncultured bacterium. RNAcentral describes it as "bacterial SSU rRNA". It matches the Rfam family "Bacterial small subunit ribosomal RNA", at positions 29 to 396 of the family's 1533-position model. The record is from RNAcentral.